GACACGCCCACCACACCUGGACACGCCCACCGCACCUGGACACGCCCACCGAACCUGGACACGCCCACACCUGGACACGCCCACCGCACCUGGGACACGCCCUGGGACACGCCCACCGCACCUGGACACGCCCACCGAACCUGAACCACACCUGGACACACCCAGGGCCACACCCACCGCACCUGGACACACCCAGGGCCACACCCAUGUUUCUCACCCAUCCCAGGUGUGUCCCACCUGUCCCAGGUGUGUCCCAGGUGUGUCCCAGGUGUGUCCCACCUGUCCCAGGUGUGUCCCAGCUGUCCCAGGUGUGUCCCAGGUGUGUCCCAGGUGUGUCUCACCUGCCCAGGUGUGUCUCACCUGUCCCAGGUGUGUCCCAGGCGUGUCCCAGGUGUGUCCAGGUGUGUCUCACCUGCCCAGGUGUGUCUCACCUGCCCAGGUGUGUCUCACCUGUCCAGGUGUGUCCCAGGUGUGUCCCAGGCAUGUCCCAGGUGUGUCUCACCUGUCCAGGUGUGUCCCAGGCAUGUCCCAGGUGUGUCCCAGGUGUGUCCCAGGUGUGUCCCAGGUGUGUCCAGGUGUGUCCCAGGUGUGUCUCACCUGUCCCAGGUGUGUCCCAGGUGUGUCCCAGGUGUGUCCCAGGCGUGUCCCAGGUGUGUCUCACCUGUCCCAGGUGUGUCCCAGGUGUGUCCCAGGUGUGUCCAGGUGUGUCUCACCUGUCCAGGUGUGUCUCACCUGCCCAGGUGUGUCCCAGGUGUGUCCAGGUGUGUCUCACCUGCCCAGGUGUGUCCAGGUGUGUCCCAGGUGUGUCCCAGGUGUGUCCAGGCGUGUCUCACCUGCCCAGGUGUGUCUCACCUGUCCAGGUGUGUCCCAGGUGUGUCCCAGGUGUGUCCCAGGUGUGUCUCACCUGUCCAGGUGUGUCUCACCUGUCCAGGUGUGUCUCACCUGUCCAGGUGUGUCCCAGGCGUGUCCCAGGCGUGUCUCACCUGUCCAGGCGUGUCUCACCUGCCCAGGUGUGUCCCAGGUGUGUCCCAGGUGUGUCCCACCUGUCCAGGUGUGUCCCAGGUGUGUCCAGGCGUGUCUCACCUGUCCCAGGCGUGUCCCAGGUGUGUCCCAGGUGUGUCCCGGCGUGUCUCACCUGCCCAGGCGUGUCCCAGGUGUGUCUCACCUGUCCAGGUGUGUCCCAGGUGUGUCCAGGUGUGUCUCACCUGUCCCAGGUGUGUCCCAGGCGUGUCUCACCUGUCCAGGUGUGUCCCAGGCGUGUCCCAGGUGUGUCUCACCUGUCCCAGGUGUGUCCCAGGUGUGUCCCAGGCGUGUCCCAGGUGUGUCUC
Molecule: long non-coding RNA, 1328 nt
Filed under: Lonchura striata (white-rumped munia)
Lineage: Eukaryota; Metazoa; Chordata; Aves; Passeriformes; Estrildidae
Description: domestica (Bengalese finch) lncRNA (ENSLSDG00000001484.1)
Source: RNAcentral